RNAcentral lists this ribosomal RNA (277 nucleotides) under Babamunida kanaloa. Its description in RNAcentral is "partial 28S ribosomal RNA". It matches the Rfam family "Eukaryotic large subunit ribosomal RNA", at positions 65 to 333 of the family's 3401-position model. The record is from RNAcentral. Lineage: Eukaryota; Metazoa; Arthropoda; Malacostraca; Decapoda; Munididae.
CCAACAGGGAUUCCCGUAGUAAGUGAGACUGAAAUGGGAUGAGCCCAGCGCAUAACCUCGUACGAGGGGUGUUGCGUUUCAGAGGGUCUAGCACGCCAUCUCACCGUUAAGUUUACGCUUGAAUGUGUCUAUUGACCAGGGAGGGUGCCAGUCCCGUAUGGCGGCCCAUGAGGGUACGGUAAGAUGGCGGAAAGGGCCUUCUGUAGAGUCGGGUUGCUUGGUAUUGCAACCUAAAGUAGGUGGUAAACUCCAUCUAAGGCUAAAUAUUACCACGAGA